Carassius carassius (crucian carp) is the source of this 617-nucleotide non-coding RNA. The record is from the annotation of a RefSeq genome assembly. NCBI's taxonomy places the organism in Eukaryota, Metazoa, Chordata, Actinopteri, Cypriniformes, Cyprinidae.
UUAAAGAACAUGAAGUAAAUCAGGAGUGUCUGUUUUUGAAAAUGAAAAAUUGAUGAAAUUGAUGAAAAUAAAAUGAAAUUUAUUAGCAAAAAUAUUAAAUAGUAAAACUGUGUAUCUGCUGUCUGCAGGUAAAUGAUGUGAGUGUGUUUGCAUAUUGAUCAGAUGCUUCAGUGCUCUGAGAGUGUUUAUAGUGCUGUGAGUUUAACACUUCAUCACUGACACACACAACAAUCUUCAUCAACAUGACCUUCAUCAUCAUCUUCAUCUGGACUCUCACAGCGUUUGCUCAAGAGUGUAGAGGACAGAUCAGCGUCACUCAGAGUCCCUCAACGACAGCAGCUCAACCAGGAGAAACAGUGAAGAUCAACUGUAGAACCAGCACAGAUGUGUACAUAUAUUUUUUGUGGGAGAGUUUAGCCUGGUACUUACAGAAACCUGGAGAAGCUCCUAAACUCCUGAUUUAUGGAACAAGCAGCCGUCAGUCAGGAACUCCAUCUAGAUUCAGUGGCAGUGGAUCUAACAGUGAUUUCACUCUGAGCAUCAGUGGAGUCCAGACUGAAGAUGCUGGACAUUAUUACUGUCAGAGUUACCACAGUGGUGGUGUGUUCACACAGUGA